AUGAAGAAUAUAAUGAAAGAAUCAGAGGCCUUAAUGGAAAUGGGUUUUGAAGCUGAGGCUUUGGAGCAAAGAAAGGUCCUAGAACAGUUCUCUCUUCCAGAAGCUGUUGUACAGACCGCACCAAAAUCUUCUAAGUCUGUCUCUGGUGAAAAGAAAAAGCUGCAGUCAAAACUGUUCACCAGAAGUAAAGAAGAUCAAGAACGGAUUUUAGCGGACAAGGUUGCCAACAUUCUAAUGUCAAAUGAUAGCCCUGUGGACGUAAGACUUGAAUCUCCUGAAAAUGUUAAAUCCAAGAUCCAAUCUAAAUUCAAAGCUAAAUCCAAGAACUUAUGGCAGCUUUCCACUGAAGAAAUUGAGUCGAGCGAAGUAUUUUAUGUCCCUAAUCUAUCUGAUUCUAUAGCUCCGAGUUCUGGAAACAUUUAUGAGCGCCUUAAAUCCAAAGCUCCUAUCCAAGAAUCUGAUUCUCCGAUCAAGUCUGAUGCAUAUUUGGAAGAAAUUUUCAAACCAGCUUUUUCUAAGAGCUCAGACGCAACGUCAGCCAUCAUUCAAUCAAGUUCAGUGAAGUCAAAAAUACGUUUACUUCUAAUUCAGAAUGCAUUAAAGCAGGAAACAAGCAAGACUCGAAUUCAAAGCCCAAUCGAAUGCAGUCAACGCAAGCGUCAUCAUUGCAGGACUUAUCAACCAGCUGGCGGCACUUGCUGAGGAGUAAAACUUUUAGUGAUGUGAAAUUCUCUCGAAAGAAGAAAGGGAAAUUCCUGCUCACAGACUUGUUUUUUUUGCGCGCUGCCCUGGUGUCCUCGAUGAUUUGAUCUCAGAGACAGAUCCCAGAACGAAUUGUCAAACCCACUUGUUGGCUUGGAAUGAUUUUACUGCAACUUGCAUCGAUUUGUUUCUAGAAUUUCUGUACUGUGCUACUGUAGAUUUUUCAAAGUUGGAUGAUGGCGUAAAAACAGAACUCUGUAGUCUUGCAGAGAGGUAUGAAGAUUCAGCGCUUAUCAGAUAUCUUCAUAUGCUGAGUGCUUCGGUGAAGAGAGUCCUAAUUUUCUUUCCGUCUAUGCAGGAGAGGCUUCGAAUAAGCAACAAAUCACAAAAUCGCUGUAUUUUGAAUCGCCCGUCAGCAAUCAAACAAAACCAAAAAUGCAAUUAAAUCCUUUUGUCAGUGCCUCGAAAAUAAACCACGGUCAUAUACCACGAAAUAUAAGUCGUCCUGAAUGCAAACAAGUUCCAGCCUCUUCAGAAGGUGCUCAAAAUAAAAAUAAAUCAGUGACAAACUAAACAGAAGUCUAUCUCCUGACAUCUUUGGUGCAGAAGAAGCUCCAUCACAGAAUACAUCAUUUUUGGAAAGCCAUCCUGAAAAUUUACUUAGGUAGUUGAGUCAAUUCAAAGCUUGUCAAAGCAGGGUGAUGAAGAAACAAUUGACAACAUAGUUUCUCAUGUCUCUGAAAAAGAAGGUACCAAAGAUACUGAUUUAGAAUUUGAUAUCAAAGCAAUUGACUCCGUAGAGGAAGAGCUUUUCAAGUUGAGCGAUGAUAAAAACACAAAAUCCAGUCAAGGAACUGAGAUCGAGAUCAUAUCUCCAGUCAAAAGUGCUUCUCAGGAAAUGAGAGACACCGUUACCGAAAAACAUUACAGUCAAGAAAAUACGGACAGCACUUGCUUUGACAACAAAGAAAAUUCUGCUCCUUUUGAAUUACCACACCUUUCUGAUGAGGAUGCUACAUCUAGUAACGGCUUUCCCUCCCGCAAACGGAAGUCAUCUAUUUCAGACCACAGUGAUAAAUCAAAGAAAAGUUGCCUCGAAGACAAGAAGAUAGUCUCUGUCGAUUUGACACUAGAAUCAUCUGCUUCCACUGUUGGAACUCUUCAGUUGGACAGUUUAUCCAAUCCUAACUCUCCUCCAAUUCUUGAUAAUAUCGGCCAUGAAGAAGAAUGUAACAAGUCCGAUUUAAAUUGCAGUGAUUCAACUGUGAUCCUACCAGAAAAUAAAGGAGAGGAAGUAGCAGUCCUGGAUUUAGAAGUGAAGCGGAAGUUCACUCACUUCCUCCGAGUCCGGCUGAAAAUAAUUCCGGAAGCAAAGAGAAACGCAGGCUAAUUACGGGUACAUAAGUCCAUUUUGGGAAGCAUUCGAUGAAGGGUACGGUGUAUUUACUGCUGCUGAAGACUCACCCCCAAGUCACCACUUGAGUGUCGGAAAGAAAGUAGUAAUGACGGAAUUCCCCAAAAACUGCCAGUCAAGAUAAAAUUGUUGUAUCAUCAGGCUCCACAUCAAACAAAAACAGUCAAGAUGUAAUUCCUCUCUCCCAGAAGAUCAUCUCAAUCUAAGUGCUACUAGUGUCUCUCCUUUAAAUAAUUCUAGGAAAUCCUGUAGCUCACCUUUCAAUCAGUCUGUCAGGUUGAAAUCCAAAUCACCCUCUCCGGUAAAACUCAGUGCCAAAGUUGUAGACCGCAGUGCCUCACCGAAGAAACGACGACAGCAGAGCGAAAAUUUUGCCAAUGAUUCGUUGUUUGAGAAUGAAUCACUACUCAAUCAAAUUGAAGGCAAUAUUCAACAAGCCCCAGAAACUUCCAAUGCCCCUUGUC
Molecule: long non-coding RNA, 2580 nt
Filed under: Bemisia tabaci
Lineage: Eukaryota; Metazoa; Arthropoda; Insecta; Hemiptera; Aleyrodidae
Description: lncRNA ENSSSA3NGG006596
Source: RNAcentral